RNAcentral lists this ribosomal RNA (497 nucleotides) under uncultured bacterium. RNAcentral's name for it is "partial 16S ribosomal RNA". It matches the Rfam family "Bacterial small subunit ribosomal RNA", at positions 28 to 507 of the family's 1533-position model. The record is from RNAcentral.
GAUGAACGCUGGCGGCGUGCCUAAUACAUGCAAGUCGAGCGAACGGACGAGAAGCUUGCUUCUCUGAUGUUUGCGGCGGACGGGUGUGUAACACGUGGAUAACCUCCCUAUAAGACUGGUAUAACCUCGGGAAACCGGCGCUAAUACCGGAUAAUCUUUUGAACCGCAUGGUUCAAAAGUGAAAGACGGUGUUGCUGUCACUUCUCGAUGGAUCCGCGCUGCAUUGGCUAGUUGGUACGGUAACGGCCUACCAAGGCAACGAUGCAUAGCCGACCUGAGAGGGUGAUCGGCCACACGGGAACGUGGACGGGGACAAGGCGCCUGCGGGAGGCAGCAGUAGGGAAUCGGCGGCAAUGGGCGAGAGCCUUACGGAGCAAGGCCGAGUGAGUUAUAGAGGUCUUCGGAGCGUGAAGCUCGGUUAUGAGGGAAGAACAUAUGUGUAAGUAACUGUGCACAUCGUGACGGUACCUGAUCAGAAAGCCACGGCUAACUACGUG